This is a non-coding RNA of Cricetulus griseus (Chinese hamster), 82 nucleotides long. The record is from Rfam. NCBI's taxonomy places the organism in Eukaryota, Metazoa, Chordata, Mammalia, Rodentia, Cricetidae.
ACCGCUGAGCCAUCUCUCCAGCCCCCAAUAAAUAAAUCUUAAAAAAAAUUAAAAAGAGGGGCUGGAGAGAUGGCUCAGCGGU